AUGUGCGCCAGUUUUGUGUUUGAACGGAAACAGAUGCUGUUGCUGUUUUUCAUGGCUUCUGUUUGCUGCCCCAUGUUUGCAGAGUUAACGCAGCCUCUCUGUCGGACCUUAGCUCACUUCAGUCGCUUGUUCGGAGCAGCGAAAGAGAGAGAAAAAGAGAGACAACGAGUGAGGAAAAGCGACGGUGGAUGGAUAAAGAAGCUUUGCGUGGACUUAUUUCACAGCUUCAGACAAAGACACUGCAUCAUGUAAUGUGUGCAGGAAGGUAAUUCGCUGCUGUGGUAACACCACCAAUCUGCACAAACAUUUAAAAGCAGUGUAAAUGGAGGGAGGAGGAGGGAGAGCCCCGAUUAACCAGACCCCGACACACAGACAGGGGUCUCUGCCUGAAGCUUUUCAACAGAAGCCUCCAGAAUAUCCAGGGAGCGGUUUUAGAGAAGUCAAGUUAAGAUUUUGGUGUUUUCAGCAAAAUUUGACGUUGCUUUUCAAUUGGUGGUCAAUGUCAUUUCAGCAGUGAUUAAACUGUUUUCAUAUAUUUAGUCAAUUGAAAUAAAUCCUGACUGUGUUAAUGGAGCUAAUAUAUAUAUAU
This 589-nucleotide long non-coding RNA is filed under the name Salarias fasciatus (jewelled blenny). RNAcentral's name for it is "lncRNA (ENSSFAG00005003328.1)". Lineage: Eukaryota; Metazoa; Chordata; Actinopteri; Blenniiformes; Blenniidae. The record is from RNAcentral.